UAACAGACUUAUAAAGACAUU
This 21-nucleotide non-coding RNA is filed under the name Caenorhabditis elegans. The record is from RNAcentral. Lineage: Eukaryota; Metazoa; Nematoda; Chromadorea; Rhabditida; Rhabditidae.